CCCAGCCUGGUGUAAUGGUUAGCACGGCGGUUGACACCUAGGUAAGCCAAAACGGGGAUGAUACGGCCUCUACCUAGGCCCAGAAGGGACCGCAGAUCCGGGUUCGAGCCCUGGGGUUGAGA
Hypoxylon trugodes is the source of this 122-nucleotide non-coding RNA. Lineage: Eukaryota; Fungi; Ascomycota; Sordariomycetes; Xylariales; Hypoxylaceae. The record is from the annotation of a RefSeq genome assembly.